AGAUUCCUGGCAGGAGUAUCAUGCUCAUCAUAGUUACGAAUGCCUUUUCAAUGCUUAUGAUUUUCACAAAGCUUAAUUAUCUUUGAUUGUAUCUUUAUUAUGUUGUUCAUGUAGGGAACUUUUGAAGAAUAAUUUGAGUUGCCGAUGCAUUAUCCGUCCAAUUCAAUGACUUAAGGAAAAUCUGAAGGUUAAUUAGUGUUGUUCACGGUUAAUCUGGGGUGUUGAGAUUCAUGGUUUAUUGGAAAAGCAACUGGAAAUCGAUUUGUGUGCAAGUCUGUCAUGUGUGGAGAAGAACCCUGUAGCUAGCCAAUCACCCAUCCAUUUAUCCCAAAUUCGUGCUAAAUUUGUCUUAAGUCUUUAAUUACUUGUUUUUACUUAAAAUUAGUCCAAAACCCAAUCCCCUUUACUUUAGUGUGUCAAAUUAGUUAGAAUAUGUCUCGGUUUGUGUUUUUAAGUGUUUUGAGUUAAGCUAAAAUCAAUUUUUGUCCAAAGUCAUUCCUAGUGUCUAUUUGAAGUCUAU
Molecule: long non-coding RNA, 520 nt
Filed under: Malus domestica (apple)
Lineage: Eukaryota; Viridiplantae; Streptophyta; Magnoliopsida; Rosales; Rosaceae
Description: long non-coding RNA (MDOM_LNC010469)
Source: RNAcentral